GUAAUGACGACACCAUCCAUGGUACCAUUGCACAUGUAUUGGGAAUCAACUCAAAUUGCACCAACCGCACAUAAUCCGCCGAAAAGAUACUCCUAGUCCUCUGUUCACGUUGCUCUUGGUAAGAAUUUUGCGCAAAUAUCCUGUUCCGGACUUUGUUCGCCUGCAAUGAUCAGUUCACGACAUGUUAAACGAGAACACAUUAAACUCGUGUCGGUGUGCAAUUUCGACCUCCUGAUUGAUCUUUAGAACGAGCGACGUUAGGAUCCGCGCGCAGAUUCUGGCCUGGUCGUCUCAAAAGGUGCUGUUCAAAGUAGGAGCUUUUUUUGAGCAAGCACCUGCUUCUGCCAGUUUGUGGCUCCAGUAACGAGAAAGAGGAGAGCCAAUUGCACGGCGGUUCCGGAUACGACACCGAUCCAAAGCCCCUUGGCUCGUAGAUGCAGG
Long non-coding RNA from Rhodamnia argentea, 441 nucleotides. RefSeq lists it as uncharacterized. The record is from RefSeq and is a predicted model, not a curated record. The transcript is spliced from 3 exons. Lineage: Eukaryota; Viridiplantae; Streptophyta; Magnoliopsida; Myrtales; Myrtaceae.